Long non-coding RNA from Papaver somniferum (opium poppy), 3465 nucleotides. RefSeq lists it as uncharacterized. The transcript has 5 exons. The record is from RefSeq and is a predicted model, not a curated record. Lineage: Eukaryota; Viridiplantae; Streptophyta; Magnoliopsida; Ranunculales; Papaveraceae.
UUUUGGAUUCGAGCAAAACUGAAAACACUCACUCUCUUUCCCUCUUUCGAACACAAGAAUACAGAUUUCUGUAGCUUUUGUUUAGAUUUUUCAAUCUUUGUAGUUUAUUAUGGUUCGAUUGUUAUGAUGCAGCGCUUCGAAGAGUUCUAAAUCGUUAAGAUAAUCUACAGAAAACAUUUGUUGUAUCAAACCCUAAUUUUUCAAUUUCUUAUAUUAUAUCAACAUGGUUUUUAAAUUUAUUGUUAUUUUAAAUUAUGGGGUUCCUCCUCUUCAUGGUGCUCGGUUUAGGCAAGAUCAGUGUCGCUCCUCUUCCUGUUCAAAUCAAUCUGUUUGGAUCAUUGCAGCCACUAAUGUUGUUUGAACCAAUCUCUAUGCAUCAAAUCAAUUUUAUGAGUAGAAAUCUUGUGGAUUUUUGCUAAAUUGUUGAGUUUGUGAUUGUACAAGAAAGCCAUGUAGAGCUUGGAGAUUUUAAAGCAUCAGGCAAUACGCAAUGGGGAGGACAAUGUCAAAGCUUUGUUUUGCAAGGACAGGUCAGUCUUUCUCUAAAUAACACAAAUUCUUGUACGAAAGAGCAAGCUCUUAAGGUUGUACGUAGAUGAGCAUUGUUCCUACAGAAAUGAUUGAGGUCAUUGCGCAGUGCAUUGGGAUUACACCCGUAUUUUGAUGUGCCUUCUGCCGUAUUGGUAUUGCGAUGGAGAUAGCAGAAAAACCAUAGCACAACUACUCAUUACCAAAUUGGACCUGCACACUGUGUAAAGUGUUGCGAUACAUUUCAAUUAGGCGCUCUAAUUUUCUCCCAGUGAUACCAUCGACUGCAUCUGAUUUUUCAAAUCACUAACCUAUUACCUAUCCAUGUGUGCAAGCUGCUAACAUGUUCAUGUUCAACGCCAGGCUACCAAAACACUUACAGAAAAUGGUUAAUAUUAUUUUGGUUGGCCUGGGUGUAGCAAGUAAGAAAGGUAUUAUGUCACUCAAUGGUCUUAAUAUGUUUGCAGGUAAGUCUUCGUAAAUCGAGAAGUGGUUAGUCUGUUAAUUUAUCAGUAUACUCCAUAAUUCCAUUAGUUUAUCAGUAUAUUUCAUUCACAGCUGAUCGUAGUCAUAUGGGCUAAUAUUUCAGUUUUGAAUUUAAUUGUUAUUCCACUCUGAACUGCAUGCAGGAGCGUUUCAAAUACUAUCCCCCCCAAUUGACACAACUACAAACAAAACGUUGUCUAUGGACUUAAAUGAAUCCAUAGGGAUGCUAGACAGAAUUUUACUAGGCUCUCCGAUCAUAUCUCUAUUAAUACCGAGUCCUUCCUAAGUAGAAUUAAAGGACAAGAAAUCAAUAAUUUGAUAGGAACAUAUCCUAAACCUGGAAUUGGACAUCAUCGUCCUUGACCUGUGAUGAAGAUGAUCAAGAGAAGGAACCAUCUACUACGACUGGGUAAUAUUACAGUAGUUCUUCACUCGGUGUUGACGAAAAAUAAUAAUGUCUCUCUGAGUAAAUAAUAGGUACACGUCUCUCUGAGUUAAUAAAAUGGCUACUUAUGAUAUUUUCGUAAUUCCGGUUUGGAUUACAGGAAAACAAAAAGAUCUCAUAAAAGAAAAAACAUGGCAUAAAGUGGCUUCAGGCACCAGCGAAGAUAAUGCGUCUUCUGAUAUGCAAUUUUGUUUUCGAAAGAAGCAUCAGCUAUGGUUUUGACAAGAGAUAAUUUCAUUACUACUGUGUCUGCUGUCGCCAAGGGUUGAUUGAUUUACAAUAACAUGAAAGGUUUUAUCAGGUACGUUCCGGAGCUACGUUUUUUUUUUUUUUUUUUAAUUCGGGAUAGAUAUACUCUGAAUGUCCUUAUAUAUUAUGGAUAUCCCCUGUAUGCAUAAGCGUCUUCUCAUUUACUUGGUUGUGUGUAGCAUGGUUCACAUCAAAUUUUUCUGUUCUGAUUCACACAUUUCCAAUUUGGAAAGACUUUUUUUUUGGGUGGGGGAAGGAACUUAAUAGAUAACUGUGUGUUUGUUGGCGUAUAUUGAUAUAUGUCAUCGAUUUAUAAUAACAUGAAAGAAUAGCCUUAUCUAGCUCAACCUGAUGUAUAUUGAAAUGGUAUGAGUGCUGAAAGAGGGAAGAUACCACUUAAACAUGACCAAACUUUGUAGUGUUUGUCUAUUUGAUAUUUGUGCAGUUAGACAUAAAUUUGUUACUGAGAUCCUGUACAUCACAAUGUCAUGCUUCACCCAGCGGAAGUUGGGUGGUGGAGCUCGAUAACUGUCUGGAGCUUGCAUUUUGUUAAGAAAACUUAUUGAGUUGUUUUUUCUUUAUCCAAACUCCGAUGAAGGACAGCAUGUUAAGCUGUGGCAAAAUUAAGAUCAAGAGUCUCUAAAUACCCAUCUCUCUCUUUUUUGUAUAUAUGGAUGCAAUGAGGCCUUUUUCAUGCUUGAACGCUUUACAGUAACAUAAAGUUUUACCAACAAAUGUUCAUUUCAAGGAUGAUCCAUAUGGACUGACAUACGUUAAGCAUUAACCAAUGAACUAUGAUAAUUGCUGGAUAAACCCGAUUAUUCUGGGUUGAUGGCAUGGUGAUUUGAAUUUCACUUGGAUACAACGGAUGUGGAGAAAAUCAAUGAUUACGCAGAUGUGGGCAUUUAUGAACAUGCCAAUUGGAAGCGAAAAUGACUUUAAAAAUAUUACAGAUAGUAACUUCUCAAGGUGAAGAACCAUCUUUUGAUUUCCCCUCUCUGCGGGUAUAUUGAGUACCCACGACCCUUAUUUGGUGGUGAAGAAAUCCUGGAGUUAAUGAAUACCAAAGAAGUUAAUUUUUUUAAAAGCUUAACACUCCAGAUUUGCAAAGGUGACAAGGCUUAUCGGAGAUUGGCUUAAAUAAACUUAAAGCAGGUAGAUCAGAUUUAUAGUUAAGGAACAAAAAUUCAAACGUUAUUACUGUAAUUGUUUCUUUGGAUUUUUCUGCAUUUUUGCUUUCUUUAAGACCAAGUUUAGUAAGUUGGAUAUCUAGACAGCCUUGCAGAUUAAAGAAUUAGGUUUUUUUAAAGGUAAGCUCCAUUAUUUCGCUGCCGCUGAAUGGCAUUUGCUUCUAUAAGCAUGUGGGUUUCCUUACAUUUUCCAGAUUUUAUAGAUCAUUUACUCACAGAACUUGCCUACACAAUGACGACAUCAUGUUGGGAUUAUGUUUUUAUUCUUCAAGCAAAGAGUAGAAAAGUUUAUCAAGGUAAAGCUGAUUUUUUUGAUCUAGGUCUAAAUCUGUUAAGCUACUUACUCAACAGAUUAGGAUUUCAUCCGAAAAAUCUUCCUUUUGUCUUCAAUUUUUGAAUUAUUAAAAUGGGUAGUGAGAAAUUACUUUCUACCACAUUGGCAUGUAGCGAUCUUGCUAAAAUAUGAGAUUGGGGAUAUAAUAGAUGAUUAAAUUCUAUGGAUUAUGGGUAUUCAAUACCUAUGUAAUUAUUUUCAGUAUGAUUUGACAUUUUUAUUUUUUCAGUUAA